UACGAAGGGGGCUAGCGUUGUUCGGAAUUACUGGGCGUAAAGGGCGCGUAGGCGGCCAUUCAAGUUAGGUGUGAAAGCCCUGGGCUCAACCUAGGAAUUGCACUUGAUACUGUUUGGCUUGAGUUCGGGAGAGGUGAGUGGAAUUCCCAGUGUAGAGGUGAAAUUCGUAGAUAUUGGGAAGAACACCAGUGGCGAAGGCGGCUCACUGGACCGACACUGACGCUGAGGCGCGAAAGCGUGGGGAGCAAACAGGG
This 254-nucleotide ribosomal RNA is filed under the name uncultured bacterium. RNAcentral describes it as "partial 16S ribosomal RNA". It matches the Rfam family "Bacterial small subunit ribosomal RNA", at positions 524 to 777 of the family's 1533-position model. The record is from RNAcentral.